AAAAUAUUGUGGUAAUAUAAAUUAAAACUUUCAGUUGUAUGAAAUAUGUUGUAAAUUCCCGAUCUUACAAUGGUGGAAGCAAUUGUUUCCAAUCAAACCCCAACCACUUGUAAUGUAAUCUGAGUAAAUUUUCUUUUUAGCGAAGUUUUACAUUUAACAAAUAUUCUGCCAAAUCCGAGAGAAAAGAAUUUGUUAAAAAUAAACUUUCCUUUAAAAAAUGCAAUUAAAAUACUCGAAAUAUUACAUCUAUGACGUAAAACUCGUGACGUAACGCGUGACGCAUUGCAACGACAAAUUCGAAUUCGUUCCAUUUCGUAUUGUUGCCGACGCCAUCUUGGAAAUUUAUGCUUUCCGGAAAUUGCGAGUUCUUUUUCCCUCCAUUUUAACAUUUUUCGUACAAAUUUUAAUAAUGAAAACUCGCGUAACGAAGAAGUAUCAUUCUCAAAUUUUAUAAUCCACUUUCCAAAGAGACAUGGAAUCAUUUUAAAAACUUCUUGUGCUCAAAAAAUUAACAAGAAGCAAAACAAAGGAAAGAUUUAACUGAUUGUGAGCACUUAAAGCCAGGAGUUGUGUGACAUCAUUUAGGCUUCUGACAUACCAAUAGAGCAGCUAUGUGACAUGUAUGUAUGAAAAUUACUUUGUGGAUAAUCAACUCAAUGGUUAUCUGCUCCACACACCUUCCUUUAGAAAAUGUUGAUAUUGAACUUUGUCACUGCAAUCUUUUAACAAACAUUUCCAUUAUGACAAAGAGCAUGCAACAUUUUCUUCUAUAAAUGGUCAGUGAACUACUUUACUUUACUUUUAUAUUCCCGGGACCAUUUUAAUUUUAAAUUUUGUAAAAAUUGGCAUUCAGAGUUUGAUUUGUCUUGAUGUUCAUUUUGGAUUAAUUAGCCCUAUGUUAAUUAAGCACAAUAAAAUUAGGUUCAAAUUUUCUUUAUCAUAUAUAAUGUAAUAGAGAUAGCUGUAAAAGCAGAUUAUAAAUUAUGAAUUAUUG
RNAcentral lists this long non-coding RNA (994 nucleotides) under Centruroides sculpturatus (bark scorpion). RNAcentral describes it as "uncharacterized LOC111619298, transcript variant X5". Lineage: Eukaryota; Metazoa; Arthropoda; Arachnida; Scorpiones; Buthidae. The record is from RNAcentral.